AGCAGCCGCGGUAAUUCCAGCUCCAAUAGCGUAUAUUAAAGUUGUUGUGGUUAAAAAGCUCGUAGUUGAACCUUGGGCCUGGCUGGCCGGUCCGCCUCACCGCGUGUACUGGUCCGGCCGGGCCUUUCCCUCUGUGGAACCCCAUGCCCUUCACUGGGUGUGGCGGGGAAACAGGACUUUUACUGUGAAAAAUUAGAGUGCUCCAGGCAGGCCUAUGCUCGAAUACAUUAGCAUGGAGUAAUAGAAUAGGACGUGUGGUUCUAUUUUGUUGGUUUCUAGGACCGCCGUAAUGAUUAAUAGGGACAGUCGGGGGCAUCAGUAUUCAAUUGUCAGAGGUGAAAUUCUUGGAUUUAUUGAAGACUAACUACUGCGAAAGCAUUUGCCAAGGAUGUUUUCAUUAAUCAGGAACGAAAGUUAGGGGAUCGAAGACGAUCAGAUACCGUCGUAGUCUUAGCCAUAAACUAUGCCGACUAGGGAUCGGACGGUGUUAU
This 491-nucleotide small RNA is filed under the name uncultured Paraglomus. Its description in RNAcentral is "SSU rRNA". It matches the Rfam family "Eukaryotic small subunit ribosomal RNA", at positions 569 to 1066 of the family's 1831-position model. The record is from RNAcentral. Lineage: Eukaryota; Fungi; Glomeromycota; Glomeromycetes; Paraglomerales; Paraglomeraceae.